GACGUAGGGGGCCAGCGUUGUUCGGAAUUACUGGGUGUAAAGGGUUCGUAGGCGGUGUGGCAAGUCGGGAGUGAAAUCUCUGGGCUCAACCCAGAGACUGCUUCCGAAACUGCUGUGCUUGAGUGUGAGAGAGGCUCGUGGAAUUGCAGGUGUAGCGGUGAAAUGCGUAGAUAUCUGCAGGAACACCCGUGGCGAAAGCGGCGUGCUGGACCUUUUCUGACGCUGAGGCGCGAAAGCUAGGGGAGCAAACGGG
This 253-nucleotide ribosomal RNA is filed under the name uncultured bacterium. RNAcentral describes it as "partial 16S ribosomal RNA". It matches the Rfam family "Bacterial small subunit ribosomal RNA", at positions 524 to 776 of the family's 1533-position model. The record is from RNAcentral.